Molecule: ribosomal RNA, 565 nt
Filed under: Bacillus cereus
Lineage: Bacteria; Bacillati; Bacillota; Bacilli; Caryophanales; Bacillaceae
Description: bacterial SSU rRNA
Rfam family: Bacterial small subunit ribosomal RNA
Source: RNAcentral
AGCGAAUGGAUUAAGAGCUUGCUCUUAUGAAGUUAGCGGCGGACGGGUGAGUAACACGUGGGUAACCUGCCCAUAAGACUGGGAUAACUCCGGGAAACCGGGGCUAAUACCGGAUAACAUUUUGAACCGCAUGGUUCGAAAUUGAAAGGCGGCUUCGGCUGUCACUUAUGGAUGGACCCGCGUCGCAUUAGCUAGUUGGUGAGGUAACGGCUCACCAAGGCAACGAUGCGUAGCCGACCUGAGAGGGUGAUCGGCCACACUGGGACUGAGACACGGCCCAGACUCCUACGGGAGGCAGCAGUAGGGAAUCUUCCGCAAUGGACGAAAGUCUGACGGAGCAACGCCGCGUGAGUGAUGAAGGCUUUCGGGUCGUAAAACUCUGUUGUUAGGGAAGAACAAGUGCUAGUUGAAUAAGCUGGCACCUUGACGGUACCUAACCAGAAAGCCACGGCUAACUACGUGCCAGCAGCCGCGGUAAUACGUAGGUGGCAAGCGUUAUCCGGAAUUAUUGGGCGUAAAGCGCGCGCAGGUGGUUUCUUAAGUCUGAUGUGAAAGCCCACGGCUC